RNAcentral lists this long non-coding RNA (305 nucleotides) under Carica papaya (papaya). Its description in RNAcentral is "long non-coding RNA (CPAP_LNC016283)". Lineage: Eukaryota; Viridiplantae; Streptophyta; Magnoliopsida; Brassicales; Caricaceae. The record is from RNAcentral.
AUGUUUUUAUACAUGUGUGUCAAUUUUAGCUAUUAUGUCUGUAUGAGUAUAAUGGCAUAAAUCUUACUUAUCUUCUCCUUGUAUCCCCUAUGUAUUGGAUUCCACUGGUGGUGAAUCAUGUCCUGGUUCCUACUUCACUGCAUCUGUAAAUAAAUAGGAAUGAGCCUACGCAUGCCCAUAAAGUUAAAUUUAGAUUUAAAAAAUGUAUUAAAAUCAAUAAAAUUCCUAAACCAGAGUCACCCUCAACUCUCUCUCUCACUCCAGACAGUCCUCUUUUUCCCUUUAUAGGAAAAUUCUAGGUAUCU